RNAcentral lists this long non-coding RNA (2481 nucleotides) under Bos grunniens (domestic yak). Its description in RNAcentral is "lncRNA (ENSBGRG00000016332.1)". The record is from RNAcentral. Lineage: Eukaryota; Metazoa; Chordata; Mammalia; Artiodactyla; Bovidae.
AUGUCAUUGGCUCCCUUUUCACUAAGAGUAAAAGCCAGUGUCCUUAGAGUGACCCCUCGGCCCUCCUCGGCUCAUCAGACUCCCCAGCGCCCUAUAAGCAUGUUUCUUGCUCCUCUCCCUCCUGUCUUGCUUGGCCACAGUGGCUUUUCCUGUACCUCCAACGGAAACAAGCCCUCCACCCCUGCUCUUGCCUUUAGGAUCUUGGAGUGGACGUCUGUAUCAAGGAUUCCUCCCUACCUUCAUGUCGUGCAUGGCAAUCCGGCGCAGGUUGGAAAACAAUCUCCAGACAUGGAGCAUUUCAGAAGGGAGUGACUUUAUUAUUAAGAACAAAGAGCUGAGAUAAUGAGGGCACUGUGAGCACAGUGGGCUGACCACCUGGCAGACCAGGGAGAGCUGACUUAGAAUCGUGGGCCUGUCAAGAGAGAGCCGACCCUUUCGUGGGUUAGUAGUCAGUUUCUGUAGCCUCAAGACAAAAUUCUUGCUGAAAGGGUGGCAUUAGGUGAUUGGUUAGGGUGCUAUAGGGUGAGUACUUGAGUGGGCAUUUUACCAGGAACUGGCUGGUAAGGAUGUGAGGACUCAUGGCAAUGGUUGCUAUGGGGCUCAGUCAGUUCUGGGAGAUGACCUUGGUGGGGACUCUAUGGCCUUAGUACAAGGCCUCACACCUGUGACCUUGGUAUGGAAUUCUAUACUUCAGAUCAGGAUUCAAGUGUCAGUUUCUUAGUGAGGCCUUCCUGGGACCCUUUAUAAAAAUCUCAGUCCUCCUCCUUUUCAUUAACAGUCUCUCUCCCACUUAUUUUCAAAAUAGAUAUUUUUAAUUGAGGUAAAAUUCAUGUAACAAAAUUAACCAUAUUUGGCACAUUUCACAAUAUUGUGUAGCCAUCACCUGUUAUCUAGUACUAAAACAUAUUCAUCACCCUGAAGUAAAACCCCAGAUCUAUUUAGCAGUUACUCCCUAUUCUUCCUGCCUGGAAUCCUGGCAGCCACCGUUUGCUUUCGGUCUCGAUGAAUUUCCCUGUACUGGAUAUUUCAUAUAAAUGAAUCAUACAGCAUAUCACCUUUUGUGUCUUGAGGCUUAUCCUUAUUUUAGCCUGUCUCAGCGCUUCAGCCCUCUUCUGAAAGAAUGAUCCUCCACUGUGUGCAUGUCACACAGUGUGUCCACUCAUCAGUGGAUGUGUGGUUUGUUUCUGCCUGGGGUUACGGUGAAUAGUACUGUAGUGAACAUUGCUACACAAGGACCUGUUUGAGUCCCUGUUCUCAAUUCUUUUGGGAGUUUGGUAUCAAUCUAUAACUGGAAUUGCUGGGUUAUAUGGCAGUUUUAUGUUUUAAUUUUUGGGAAAUGCCAAGCUGCUUCCCAGUGACUAUACCAUUUUACAUUCCUGCCAGCACUAAACAAGGGUUCCCAGUUCUCCACAUCUUUGCCAACACUUGUUCAGUUCAGCUCAGUUCAGUCACUCAGUCGUGUCCAACUCUUGGCGACCCCAUGAACUGCAGCACACCAGGCCUCCUAUCCAUCACCAACUCCGGAGUUCACCCAGACUCACGUCCAUAGAGUCAGUGAUGCCAUCCAGCCAUCUCAUCCUCUGUUGUCCUCUUCUCCUCCUGCCCCCAAUCCCUCCCAGCAUCAGAGUCUUUUCCAACGAGUCAACUCUUCGCAUGAGGUGGCCAAAGUACUGGAGUUUCAGCUUUAGCAUCAUUCCUUUCAAAGAAAUCCCAGGGCUGAUCUCCUUCAGAAUGGACUGGUUGGAUCUCCUUGCAGUCCAAGGGACUCUCAAGGAUCUUCUCUGACACCACAGUUCAAAAGCAUCAAUUCUUCAGCGCUCAGUCUUCUUCACAGUCCAACUCUCACAUCCAUACAUGACCACUGGAAAACCAUAGCCUUGACUAGACAGACCGUUGUUGGUAAAGUAAUGUCUCUGCUUUUCAAUAUGCUAUCUAGGUUGGUCAUAACUUUCCUUCCAAGGAUUAAGCGUCUUUUAAUUUCAUGGCUGCAGUCACCAUCUGCAGUAUUUUGGAGCCCCAAAAUAAAGUCUGACACUGUUUCCACUGUUUCCCAUCUAUUUCCCAUGAAGUGAUGGGACUAGAUGCCAUGAUCUUCGUUUUCUGAAUGUUGAGCUUUAAGCCAACUUUUCACUCUCCUCUUUCACUUUCAUCAAGAGGCUUUUAGUUCCUCUUCACUUUCUGCCAUAAGGGUGGUGUCAUCUGCAUAUCUGAGGUUAUUGAUAUUUCUCCUGGCAGUCUUGAUUCCAGCUUGUGCUUCUUCCAGUCCAGCGUUUCUCAUGAUGUACUCUGCAUAUAAGUUAAAUAAGCAGGGUGACAAUAUACAGCCUUGACGAACUCCUUUUCCUAUUUGGAACCAGUCUGUUGUUCCAUGUCCAGUUCUAACUGUUGCUUCCUGACCUGCAUACAAAUUUCUCAAGAGGCAGGUCAGGUGGUCUGGUAUUCCAUCUCUUUCCAAAUUUUCCACAGUUUAUUGUGAUCCAC